CACCGUUACAGUCACAGUUUCGUAUCUCAAGAUUUGUCCCAUAUAUGGUGAAAUUGUGUCCAUAUAAGGCAAAUGUUUUCGUCUAGGAAAAAAAUAAUGGCGCGACAGCUGCAGCAGAAUGUAAAGGCAGUUCUGGCUCGGAUUUUAAACGUUCCUGCUGAAAAAACUGAAUAUUAUGGGAGUCACAAGGAAUGCUAACUAUAUACAACAGGAUCUUGGGAAGAAAUGACAUUUGCGAUGUGAAUAAUGAGACAUGAAAUGGAUCUACGAAAAGAUUGGCAUACAAAUUUAGCAGCACAUUCUAUGGUCAUAGAGGAAGACAAUAUGUUACCUUAGUUAUAUAUAUUUUUUUCAUUUGUUAUAUAUCUUAUACUCAGUAGCAGCAUGAACACUGAAUAUGAAAAAGCUAGACACGAAACUUAUAAAAACUUAAAUUAAUCUUUGUUCCAAUGCAGUCAAGCAUGUAUAUAUGUAAACCAAAAACAUAUUUGCUUUAUUUUAUGUAUAUAAAAUAGUUUUAUUGAAAGCACUUCUUUUCUAUUCCUAAGGCAGAUUUUCAAAUAGAAUUUAUUAAGUAUUUAAACACAUUGAAGUCAGUAAGAAGUCUGUGUUAAAUAUCAAGAGCUUUGUUAGCUGAACUUUGACAUUAUAUAUAGAAAAAGUUAUUAACACCUUUUACACCUACACACACUACAUAUCUUGGUAAAGUCGUAACGAUGUUAGCUCCUUGGUGUGAACAAGGCGAUAAGAUCAGUGACAAUAACAAUUUCAUGACAGUUAGAUAUUAUGUCAACAAAAUUAUGAAACAAACAAUGAUAGAAGCUCCAGUACAGUAAUUGUAUUAUAAUAUACGUGGAUAUUUUUUACUUUUGUAAAUAUUCAGGCUUCUAUAUAAAAUCACGCACCAUAUUUAAUAAUAGAUUUUAGGCUUAGCACUUUUGUAACCUGAUAAUGUUACUUUAUAUCGUUUUGCACAA
Molecule: long non-coding RNA, 977 nt
Organism: Hydractinia symbiolongicarpus
Lineage: Eukaryota; Metazoa; Cnidaria; Hydrozoa; Anthoathecata; Hydractiniidae
Exons: 2
Source: RefSeq, a predicted model, not a curated record